GACGAACGCUGGCGGCGUGCUUAACACAUGCAAGUCGAACGGAAAGGCCCUGCUUGCAGGGUACUCGAGUGGCGAACGGGUGAGUAACACGUGGGUGAUCUGCCCUGCACUUCGGGAUAAGCCUGGGAAACUGGGUCUAAUACCGGAUAGGAGCCAUUUUUAGUGUGAUGGUUGGAAAGUUUUUUCGGUGUAGGAUGAGCUCGCGGCCUAUCAGCUUGUUGGUGGGGUAAUGGCCUACCAAGGCGGCGACGGGUAGCCGGCCUGAGAGGGUGGACGGCCACAUUGGGACUGAGAUACGGCCCAGACUCCUACGGGAGGCAACAGUGGGGAAUAUUGCACAAUGGGCGCAAGCCUGAUGCAGCGACGCCGCGUGGGGGAUGACGGCCUUCGGGUUGUAAACUCCUUUCGCUAGGGACGAAGCUUUUGUGACGGUACCUAGAUAAGAAGCACCGGCUAACUACGU
RNAcentral lists this ribosomal RNA (463 nucleotides) under uncultured bacterium. RNAcentral's name for it is "partial 16S ribosomal RNA". It matches the Rfam family "Bacterial small subunit ribosomal RNA", at positions 28 to 506 of the family's 1533-position model. The record is from RNAcentral.